This 684-nucleotide ribosomal RNA is filed under the name uncultured bacterium. RNAcentral describes it as "bacterial SSU rRNA". It matches the Rfam family "Bacterial small subunit ribosomal RNA", at positions 69 to 767 of the family's 1533-position model. The record is from RNAcentral.
AGAAGUGAAGCUUGCUUCACGAGUACAGUGGCAGACGGGUGAGUAACACGUGAACAACCUACCCUCGAGUGGGGAAUAACACCGCGAAAGCGGUGCUAAUACCGCAUAAUAUCUCUGAAUCGCAUGGUUUUGAGAUCAAAAGCUUCGGUUGCUUGAGGAGGGGUUCGCGCCUGAUUAGCUUGUUGGUGAGGUAACGGCUCACCAAGGCUGCAAUCAGUAGCCGGCCUGAGAGGGCGAACGGCCACACUGGAACUGAGACACGGUCCAGACUCCUACGGAUGGCAGCAGUAGGGAAUAUUGCCCAAUGGACGAAAGUCUGAGGCAGCAACGCCGCGUGUGCGAAGAAGGUCUUCGGAUUGUAAAGCACUUUUGACAGGGAAGAGGAAGGACAGUACCUGUAGAAUAAGCCUCGGCUAACUACGUGCCAGCAGCCGCGGUAACACGUAGGAGGCAAGCGUUAUCCGGAUUUACUGGGCGUAAAGCGCGUGCAGGCGGGCAUGUAAGUUGGAUGUGAAAUCUCCUGGCUUAACUGGGAGAGGUCGUCCAAAACUGCGUGUCUGGAGUGUGAGAGAGGGAGGCAGAAUUCCGAGUGUAGUGGUGAAAUGCGUAGAUAUUCGGAGGAAUACCAGAGGCGAAGGCGGCCUCCUGGCUCACAACUGACGCUGAGACGCGAAAGCUAGGGUA